UACAGAGGUCUCAAGCGUUGUUCGGAUUCAUUGGGCGUAAAGGGUGCGUAGGCGGCGCGGUAAGUCGGGUGUGAAAUCUUGGAGCUUAACUCCGAAACUGCAUUCGAUACUGCCGUGCUUGAGGACUGGAGAGGAGACUGGAAUUUACGGUGUAGCGGUGAAAUGCGUAGAUAUCGUAAGGAAGACCAGUGGCGAAGGCGGGUCUCUGGACAGUUACUGACGCUGAUGCACGAAGGCCAGGGGAGCAAACGGG
This 253-nucleotide ribosomal RNA is filed under the name uncultured bacterium. RNAcentral's name for it is "partial 16S ribosomal RNA". It matches the Rfam family "Bacterial small subunit ribosomal RNA", at positions 524 to 776 of the family's 1533-position model. The record is from RNAcentral.